CCGGCGCACGGGUGAGUAACACGUAUCCAACCUGCCGUCUACUCUUGGACAGCCUUCUGAAAGGAAGAUUAAUACAAGAUGGCAUCAUGAGUCCACAUGUUCACAUGGUUAAAGGUAUUCCGGUAGACGAUGGGGAUGCGUUCCAUUAGAUAGUAGGCGGGGUAACGGCCCACCUAGUCUUCGAUGGAUAGGGGUUCUGAGAGGAAGGUCCCCCACAUUGGAACUGAGACACGGUCCAA
This 239-nucleotide ribosomal RNA is filed under the name uncultured bacterium. Its description in RNAcentral is "partial 16S ribosomal RNA". It matches the Rfam family "Bacterial small subunit ribosomal RNA", at positions 95 to 334 of the family's 1533-position model. The record is from RNAcentral.